CCGAAACCAAAUGAUUUAUUCAAAAUUAUUUUAUUUUAAAUUAUUUCAAAUUUCAGUUAUUGUAAUGCAUUUAAAUGGUGAAAUCAUUGAAAAUUUUAUGAUAUAUAAUAUUUAUGUUUUUGUUUAGUCGCGCCCCUAGAUAGAUCAUUAAUUUUAGAUUAAUGAUUUUUACUUAGCAAUAAAUAUUUACAUAAUUGGGCCUGAAUAAAUAUUUGUAAAUUUCUCCUUAUUGGGCCAUGUUUAUAUAUAUAUAUAUAUUUUUUUUUUUUUACUUUUGGGCCUUAUUUAUUUUUCAUUGGGCUAUAUUAAUAUAAAGCCCAUCACAUCUAGCUAAUGAUCAGCCUUUACUCUCUUUUCAUUAUUGAUCAGAAAUUUUACUGCAUUUACGUGUUUCUUUCCUCAGCCAUAAUUCUAUAUUCAUUUUCAGCCACAAAUUUUUAACUUGGCCUUGAAGAACACUCACAUUUCUGCAGCCACAUAUUUUCAAAGUAGAAAACUAUUUCGUGCAGCCCAAGAAUUUAGUCCUAUUUAAACUCAAAUUACCCAAAUUUGUAUACCAGCAAUUCACUCCUCAUUUGUUCACUUCACCAUAUAAACUCAAUCUGCCAUUUCUCACUGCACAUCAUCAAUCGGUGCGGCGCGACUAGGACGUUACUUUUGAUUGAAUUUCUCAAAGUUAGCUUUCAAGUUGAAGUUCAAGUUAAAAAAUUCAGGUAUUUUGACGUUGGAGACGCGUGGAAGGUCGAAUGGGCGCAUCGAGAUUCAAGACAUUUAUCAAGUAGUUGAUUUGAUUUUCAACUAAUUUAAGUAUUUAAAGUUUUGCUUAGCACAAGUUUUACCUAAUACUUGGAUAUUUUGAUGACAUCUUUAUGUCAUGCUUUGAAAUAAGAGGUUGAUUGUCGAUUUUUAAAUCAAAGUUAGCCUUUGAGUACAUUAUUUAAAAGUUUAAUUUUUUUUAGGGUUUUCUCCCUUUGAAGUGUUUUCAAAAUAUUUUAUUUAAAAAUUUAUUUAUUUGAUAAUAAAUCCAUAUCUUUAUUUUAUGAUAUUUCCGCUGUCAAAAAUUAUUUACAUUCAUAUUUAAUACGUUAAUUAGAUUAGGAUGUUACAGCAUGGUAUCAGAGCAGGUCUACUUUCCUGUAGACUCUGCAAAAUAAAAUUUUUCUUAAAAUGUUUCAAGUCAAGUGUGACAAGGCCAUUCGACCACUACGCGCUCUGACGUCAAGGUAAAAGUUAUUUUAAAAGUUUUCAAGGGGAUGAGUAUAAACUGUUUAUAUUCCGAAUUUAUGUUAAACUUGCUGCAAUAAUUGAAGUUGUUAUCAGAAAGUUCAAGUUCAUUAUGCAAGUUAUUAUGAGAAAGUUCAGUAUACAAUUCAUCAUGUUGAAGAUUAUUGCAGCUAUGAUUUUAUUUCGGAAUAUUUCAGUUCAUGAUAUUGAAUUACGGGUUUUGAAAUAUUUAUUUUGAACAUCGUCCUCGAAAUAGGAAUAACCUAGAAAUUUUCCUAGAAAAGCUUUGAUCUAUAUCCUCUCAAUUCGUAAGUGCGUAGAAACCUAUAUAAAAUGUCCCUGAAUAUAGAUCCAUAAGAAGUACGCAUGCCUAUUCUCGUAGCUAGUGUCGAGAACACUAGCACGAACUACAAGGACGAAGCUAAGCAAAACAAACUCGUCAAACUAGUGGAUGAGAUUUCAAGAAUCAAUUUUGAGUGCAUUACGAGGAUUUGUCCAAACAACAAACCCAAGCUCAGGCUACGCGACUUAAAGUCAACUCCAAUGCUUAACGCGAUGGAUAGUGCUGUCGAAUGAACUACAACCCGCAAUGAUUCGAUAGACCUGAUAGGUAAUUAGCAGUUGAAGAAGGGUUAGAGGAACUAGAACGAGUUUUCACUCAUCUCAAUUGUACCAACGGACAGAAAACAUCAUAUGUUAUCUUUCAACUUGUGGAGGAACUCUGAAACGACGAUAUCUGUGAUGAAAGCAAUGGAGAUAUUAGAUCAAUAUUCUAGGAAGCGCCGUGUAGUAAACAUUGAAGGAAAAGAAGACGAAGAACUUCCCCUCGAGAGUGUGCUAGUGGUACAUGAUUUUUUCCUCAGCGUCACCUUACGGAUCUCGCUUGAAUAUCGCUGCUAGAUAGACAAGUAUAGUUCACGAUCGAUCUAGUACCUAGAGUUGCACCUAUUUCAAAGCAUCAUAUGAUGGCGCCAAAAGAAUUGAAGAAUUAAAUACGCAAUUGCGAGAGCGUUUAGAUAUAAGGUUUAUUGUCCAAGCAUGUCGUCCUGGGAAAUGCCAUUCUUAAUGGUCAAGAAGAAAGACGGAACGAAUGAUGUGUGUGUUUAUUGUUUGGGCUAGAUCGACUCACCAUCAAGAGAAAGUACCAUUUGCCACGGGUAGAAGAUUUACUCAACCAAUUGAAAGAAGUAGACGUGAUCUCGAAGAUCGACUUGAGAUUGGGUUGCCAUCAAAUUAGGAUAAAAUAGAGUGAUAUAUCGAAGACGACUUUCCAGAUAAGUUAGUCAUAGUUUUCAUCAACAAUAUUUUGAUAUACUUAAGUAACGAUGUGUGACGUGAUGAAUAUUUCAAGAUCGUCUUAUUAACUUUAUGGAACGCGAAACUUUACGCAGAUUUAAGAAGUGCGAGUUUUCGUUAAAUCGAGUAGUCUUUCUCGCUCGCGUAGUAAUUGCUCAAGGAAUCGAAGUGGACCCAGCUAAAGCAGAAGCUAUCAAUAAUUGGAGGACGCUUACAAAUGCUAGUGAGUAAAAUGUGUCUUAGGACUCGCAGGUUAUUGUAGAAGAUUCAUCAAGGCACGAUUAACAAGGAGAUCAGUCACGUUCAAAUGACUGACAAGUGCGGGCAUGAUUUCAAGAAUUGAAGAGAAGAUUGACGACAGUACCAGUGUUGACCAUACCAGCUGGAUUAGACAACUCCGUAUCUACACUGACACAUUGAAGCAAGGAGCUGGACAGGAGACAGAAAAGAUGGCUAGAGCUUGUGUUAGACUACGAUUACACCAUACAACAUUACCAAGAAAAAGCUAAUGUGGUGGCGUGGCACUUAGCAGGAAAAGAUAAAAGACAACUCGCUUGGAUGAUAACUCAACAAGAGACCUUGAUAAGAGAAUUCAAAAGGUAGAAACUCGACGUAGUAACUUCGAAUACUCAGAAAGUUAAGUUAGCAACAUUAGUGUUCACGAUACAAGAUUAACUUAAGGAAGCUCAGGAAAUCAACGACUUUUCUCCACCGAAUGACGAAUAGAGAUUUAAGAGACGAUAAUAUGGAUAUUCAUAUUGGCAAGUGAUAGAAUGUUUAGUAGGUAGACAGAAUUUGGGUCCCCAAGGACAAUAAACUGAUGGAGAAAAUUUUUCAAGAGCAUCGCACGAGUUAUACGGCACGCCCUGGAAACACCAAGACCUUCACAAGAUGUUAAAGAUGAAAGAAGAAAACGAUAGUUGAGUUUGUUAGGAAUCUCAUUUACCGUCGAUAGAAUUCACGAAUAAUAGCAGUUUUCCAACUACUAUCAACAUAGGCUCUAUACGAGGCAUUAUAUAGGAAAAAGUGUAGGUCAUCUUUACAUUAGGGAUGUAUUUGGCAAACGAUAAGUGUUAGGCCCAAAAAAUCGUGAAAGCAACCAUCGAAGUGAUUGCGAGACAAAAGGAUCAAAAUGGCACGGGAACGAUAGAAGAAAGAAGUUCUAUUUCGACGUUCUAUUUCAAGGUUGGCGGAAGUAUUCUCCUUAAGUAGCACCGAUAAAUAGAGUCCCGUGGUUCAGAAAGAAACGAAAAUUGAGACCUCGAUUUAUAGGUUCGUUUAAAAUUCGAGAACGAAUAGGGUGACGUAGCCUAUCGUCUAGCUUUCACGCUACAAUGGUCAGCUGUACAAAUGUGUUUCUCGAGGAUUGCGAAAUACUUGCACGAUUUCAGCCACAUCAUUCAUCAGCGUAAAAAAGAGAAGUCAAUCAGUAUACUAGAUCAAAAGUACAAGCUUUACGAAGUCAAGAAGCACCGAUAGUCAAAUAUAGAGUGAACUAGGCACGGACCCCAAGAAACUACAUGAGAAUGAGAAGAGAAAUCCUAGCUCAUUAUUCCCAUUUAGAACCUAUUAAGUUAAAUUUCGAGGACGAAAUUUUCUUUAAGUAGGUAGGGUUGUGACAGCCCGAAACCAAAUGAUUUAUUCAAAAUUAUUUUAUUUUAAAUUAUUUCAAAUUUCAGUUAUUGUAAUGCAUUUAAAUGGUGAAAUCAUUGAAAAUUUUAUGAUAUAUAAUAUUUAUGUUUUUGUUUAGUCGCGCCCCUAGAUAGAUCAUUAAUUUUAGAUUAAUGAUUUUUACUUAGCAAUAAAUAUUUACAUAAUUGGGCCUGAAUAAAUAUUUGUAAAUUUCUCCUUAUUGGGCCAUGUUUAUAUAUAUAUAUAUAUUUUUUUUUUUUUACUUUUGGGCCUUAUUUAUUUUUCAUUGGGCUAUAUUAAUAUAAAGCCCAUCACAUCUAGCUAAUGAUCAGCCUUUACUCUCUUUUCAUUAUUGAUCAGAAAUUUUACUGCAUUUACGUGUUUCUUUCCUCAGCCAUAAUUCUAUAUUCAUUUUCAGCCACAAAUUUUUAACUUGGCCUUGAAGAACACUCACAUUUCUGCAGCCACAUAUUUUCAAAGUAGAAAACUAUUUCGUGCAGCCCAAGAAUUUAGUCCUAUUUAAACUCAAAUUACCCAAAUUUGUAUACCAGCAAUUCACUCCUCAUUUGUUCACUUCACCAUAUAAACUCAAUCUGCCAUUUCUCACUGCACAUCAUCAAUCGGUACUUUUAAUAUUUUCUGUGCGGCGCGACUAGGACGUUACUUUUGAUUGAAUUUCUCAAAGUUAGCUUUCAAGUUGAAGUUCAAGUUAAAAAAUUCAGGUGUGGGAUUUAUUUCAGUACAUGCCCGUGGUUAAUUCUUGUCCAUUUUAAUAUCAUGUGUUUACCAUAUGUGAGUUGCAUUAAAUUAUAUCGCUAGGGGCCCGCUCAAUGGGUCCAGGACUUCACCGUCCUUGGUAUGCCACAAUGCGAUUUCAUGUUACAGUUAGGGUUGCAACCUAUUCGCCAGGGGCCUGCUCAAUGGGUCCAGGACUUUAAAGUCCUUGGUAUGCCACCGUGCGAAUUUCAGUUAUCAGUACAGUGCAGUGCGUAUUUUGACGUUGGAGACGCGUGGAAGGUCGAAUGGGCGCAUCGAGAUUCAAGACAUUUAUCAAGUAGUUGAUUUGAUUUUCAACUAAUUUAAGUAUUUAAAGUUUUGCUUAGCACAAGUUUUACCUAAUACUUGGAUAUUUUGAUGACAUCUUUAUGUCAUGCUUUGAAAUAAGAGGUUGAUUGUCGAUUUUUAAAUCAAAGUUAGCCUUUGAGUACAUUAUUUAAAAGUUUAAUUUUUU
Molecule: long non-coding RNA, 5383 nt
Organism: Salvia miltiorrhiza (redroot sage)
Lineage: Eukaryota; Viridiplantae; Streptophyta; Magnoliopsida; Lamiales; Lamiaceae
Exons: 5
Source: RefSeq, a predicted model, not a curated record